This 497-nucleotide ribosomal RNA is filed under the name uncultured bacterium. RNAcentral describes it as "partial 16S ribosomal RNA". It matches the Rfam family "Bacterial small subunit ribosomal RNA", at positions 28 to 507 of the family's 1533-position model. The record is from RNAcentral.
GAUGAACGCUGGCGGCGUGCCUAAUACAUGCAAGUCGAGCGAACAGAUAAGGAGCUUGCUCCUUUGACGUUAGCGGCGGACGGGUGAGUAACACGUGGGUAACCUACCUAUAAGACUGGGAUAACUUCGGGAAACCGGAGCUAAUACCGGAUAACAUUUGGAACCGCAUGGUUCUAAAGUGAAAGAUGGUUUUGCUAUCACUUAUAGAUGGACCCGCGCCGUAUUAGCUAGUUGGUAAGGUAACGGCGUACCAAGGCAACGAUACGUAGCCGACCUGAGAGGGUGGUCGGCCGCACGGGAACUGAGACACGGUCCAGAGUCCUACGGGAGGCAGCAGUAGGGAAUCUUCCGCAAUGGGCGAGAGCCUGACGGAGCAACGCCGCGUGAGUGAUGAAGGGGUUCGGCUCGUAAAACUCUGUUAUUAGGGAAGAACAAACGUGUAAGUAACUGUGCACGUCUUGACGGUACCUAAUCAGAAAGCCACGGCUAACUACGUG